GGACUACUGGGGUAUCUAAUCCUGUUUGCUACCCACACUUUCGAGCCUCAGCGUCAGUUGGUGCCCAGUAGGCCGCCUUCGCCACUGGUGUUCCUCCCGAUAUCUACGCAUUCCACCGCUACACCGGGAAUUCCGCCUACCUCUGCACUACUCAAGAAAAACAGUUUUGAAAGCAGUUUAUGGGUUGAGCCCAUAGAUUUCACUUCCAACUUGUCUUCCCGCCUGCGCUCCCUUUACACCCAGUAAUUCCGGACAACGCUUGUGACCUACGUUUUACCGCGGCUGCUGGCACGUAGUUAGCCGUCACUUCCUUGUUGAGUACCGUCAUUAUCUUCCUCAACAACAGGAGUUUACAAUCCGAAGACCUUCUUCCUCCACGCGGCGUCGCUGCAUCAGGGUU
Molecule: unclassified non-coding RNA, 400 nt
Filed under: uncultured fungus
Lineage: Eukaryota; Fungi
Description: sequence contains ITS1
Source: RNAcentral